RNAcentral lists this ribosomal RNA (582 nucleotides) under uncultured bacterium. RNAcentral's name for it is "partial 16S ribosomal RNA". It matches the Rfam family "Bacterial small subunit ribosomal RNA", at positions 355 to 928 of the family's 1533-position model. The record is from RNAcentral.
UGGGGAAUAUUGGACAAUGGGCGCAAGCCUGAUCCAGCCAUACCGCGUGGGUGAAGAAGGCCUUCGGGUUGUAAAGCCCUUUUGUUGGGAAAGAAAUCCAGCUGGUUAAUACCCGGUUGGGAUGACGGUACCCAAAGAAUAAGCACCGGCUAACUUCGUGCCAGCAGCCGCGGUAAUACGAAGGGUGCAAGCGCUACUCGGAAUUACUGGGCGUAAAGCGUGCGUAGGUGGUCGUUUAAGUCUGUUGUGAAAGCCCUGGGCUCAACCUGGGAACUGCAGUGGAAACUGGACGACUAGAGUGUGGUAGAGGGUAGCGGAAUUCCUGGUGUAGCAGUGAAAUGCGUAGAGAUCAGGAGGAACAUCCAUGGCGAAGGCAGCUACCUGGACCAACACUGACACUGAGGCACGAAAGCGUGGGGAGCAAACAGGAUUAGAUACCCUGGUAGUCCACGCCCUAAACGAUGCGAACUGGAUGUUGGGUGCAAUUUGGCACGCAGUAUCGAAGCUAACGCGUUAAGUUCGCCGCCUGGGGAGUACGGUCGCAAGACUGAAACUCAAAGGAAUUGACGGGGGUCAUAGCUG